GACGAACGCUGGCGGCGCGCUUAACACAUGCAAGUCGAACGGAAAGGCCCUGCUUUUGUGGGGUGCUCGAGUGGCGAACGGGUGAGUAACACGUGAGUAACCUGCCCUUGACUUUGGGAUAACUUCAGGAAACUGGGGCUAAUACCGGAUAGGAGCUCCUGCUGCAUGGUGGGGGUUGGAAAGUUUCGGCGGUUGGGGAUGGACUCGCGGCUUAUCAGCUUGUUGGUGGGGUAGUGGCUUACCAAGGCUUUGACGGGUAGCCGGCCUGAGAGGGUGACCGGCCACAUUGGGACUGAGAUACGGCCCAGACUCCUACGGGAGGCAGCAGUGGGGAAUAUUGCACAAUGGGCGGAAGCCUGAUGCAGCAACGCCGCGUGCGGGAUGACGGCCUUCGGGUUGUAAACCGCUUCCGCCUGUGACGAAGCGUGAGUGACGGUAAUGGGUAAAGAAGCACCGGCUAACUACGUG
This 468-nucleotide ribosomal RNA is filed under the name uncultured bacterium. Its description in RNAcentral is "partial 16S ribosomal RNA". It matches the Rfam family "Bacterial small subunit ribosomal RNA", at positions 28 to 507 of the family's 1533-position model. The record is from RNAcentral.